UACGAAGGGGGCUAGCGUUGCUCGGAAUCACUGGGCGUAAAGCGCACGUAGGCGGCUUUUUAAGUCAGGGGUGAAAUCCUGGAGCUCAACUCCAGAACUGCCUUUGAUACUGAGAGGCUCGAGUCCGGGAGAGGUGAGUGGAACUGCGAGUGUAGAGGUGAAAUUCGUAGAUAUUCGCAAGAACACCAGUGGCGAAGGCGGCUCUCUAGUACGGUACUGACGCUGAGACGCGAAAGCGUGGGGAGCGAACAGG
This 253-nucleotide ribosomal RNA is filed under the name uncultured bacterium. RNAcentral's name for it is "partial 16S ribosomal RNA". It matches the Rfam family "Bacterial small subunit ribosomal RNA", at positions 524 to 776 of the family's 1533-position model. The record is from RNAcentral.